RNAcentral lists this ribosomal RNA (144 nucleotides) under Grania postclitellochaeta. RNAcentral describes it as "5.8S ribosomal RNA". The stretch from base 2 to 115 matches the Rfam family "5.8S ribosomal RNA". From Rfam's summary of the family: 5.8S ribosomal RNA (5.8S rRNA) is a component of the large subunit of the eukaryotic ribosome. It is transcribed by RNA polymerase I as part of the 45S precursor that also contains 18S and 28S rRNA. Functionally, it is thought that 5.8S rRNA may be involved in ribosome translocation. Lineage: Eukaryota; Metazoa; Annelida; Clitellata; Enchytraeida; Enchytraeidae. The record is from RNAcentral.
CAACUCUAAACGGUGGAUCACUCGGCUCGUGUGUCGAUGAAGAGCGCAGCCAUCGAUAUCUUGAACGCAUAUUGCGGCCUCAGGUAAUCCUGAGGCCACGCCUGUCUCAGGGUCGGUUACAAGUCGAUCGCGGUGCAGCUCUCU